Molecule: unclassified non-coding RNA, 406 nt
Filed under: uncultured Rhizophagus
Lineage: Eukaryota; Fungi; Glomeromycota; Glomeromycetes; Glomerales; Glomeraceae
Description: sequence contains 28S rRNA gene
Source: RNAcentral
AGUUAAACAGUACGUGAAAUUGUUGAAAGGGAAACGAUUGAAGCCAGUCGUACCUUCGGGUAAUCAGCCUUUCGGGUGCGAUUCUGUGGGGUGUGAAGAGUUAAACGCCUUCACGUUUUGCAUAUUCGUGCUCUUGGGUGUACUUGCCCGUGUGGUUGGUUAACAUCAAUUUUGGACGCCAUAAAAUGACUGGAGGAAUGUAGCUUCGAUCUCGUAUUGAAGUGUUAUAGCCUUCGGUAGAUGUGGUUUUCGAGAUUGAGGAUUGCAACGGAUACCCUUCGGGGCUACCUAUCUGAUCUCUGAUCGUUGCUCUGGUGCCGAAAGCUUGCUUACGGUUAUCAAAGUCGAUGGUCAAUAUGUUAGAAUGGGUUAAAUUCGUUAAGGAUGUUGACGUAAUGGCUUUAAA